AAAGACUUGGGAAGACACACACUGAGGAUGGCGGAGCUGAAGAUGCAAGGAGCCUGACCCCAGCAUCCUGGCUCCGAGAGCCUGAUGAGCAGAAACAUGUUUUGUUGGACUUUAUGAAAAUGAGGACGUCUACCAGGAUGCUGUGUCAAAUAAAUGUAAACCACCAGUCUGACAUCCAAGAAAGACACUUACAAGAAAAAUAAGUCUUCAAUGACGUUUUAACACGUCUACCUCAUAGCAGAACAGACUGUAUAAUGAGAAGGUUUUCCCUGGAGAGAACAGAUGCCAAAACGUGGAAAACGGACACGAUGGCCUUUCUUUUAUGACUUACUCGAUGGACACAACCAUUCGAUUACAGGUAUUACACUCUUUUGGACUCAUGUACGUAACACCUAAUCCUUGGUAACUGUUUGUUAUUGUGUAAUGCCUGUUUGUUAUUUGUUCAAUUUGAUCUCAAAGAUAGCAUGCUCACGAGAGGAUGUAUAAUGUAGGGCACAUGAUAAGGUUUUUUACUGCCAAGCCCCAAAUGACCACUAUUUCCUGUACUCAUUAUUUGUUCAUUAAACAUUUUUUGAGGCCCUAUGAUAGACAGAAACUGUGCCAGAGGCCAGGGCUACGAAGAUGUACGAUGCCCUUGUUGGGCUCAUGUUCCACUGGGGAGAUGUAAACAUAAUGGGCAAUGCUGGGGCACAGUACAGACGAGGAACACAGGGCCUCGAACCACCUGAGACAAGGGACUCUGACAAGUUAGUUGCCCACCUUCACAACACUUGUAACUGGCCAAGGAAGUAUUUGCGGUCUGAUUUCAAAGCCACCAAUACCCCCAGUGCCACUUUGUGGUGACGGGCCCACUCCUGCCUGUGCCUGCUCCAGGUGGGGUGAUGCUGCAGGCGGGGGUGGUGCUGCUAUACAGGCAGAUCUCAGGGUAGCUCUGUCCAAAAGCCGGCAUCCAAGCCUAGCUCC
Long non-coding RNA from Myotis myotis, 963 nucleotides. RefSeq lists it as uncharacterized. Lineage: Eukaryota; Metazoa; Chordata; Mammalia; Chiroptera; Vespertilionidae. The transcript has 3 exons. The record is from RefSeq and is a predicted model, not a curated record.